CCUCUCUCUUCCCUCCAGACAACAGCUUCCUCCUCCUCCUCCUCCUCCUCUUCUUCUUCUUCUAACUCCUCUUCUUCCUUUUUCUUCUUUUUCUUCUUCCGUUAUGUGUGUGUGUGUUUGUUCUUUUUCCUUCUCCUCCUCCUCCUCUUCCUCCUCCUCCUCUUCUUCUUCUUCCUCCUCCUCUUCUUCCUUUUUCUUCUUCUUCUUCUUCCGUUAUGUGUGUGUGUGUGUGUUUGUUCUUUUUCCUUCUCCUCCUCCUCCUUUUCCUCCUCCUCCUCUUCUUCUUCUUCCUCUUCCUCUUCUUCCUUUUUCUUCUUCUUCUUCUUCCGUUAUGUGUGUGUGUGUGUUUGUUCUUCAUCCUCCUCCUCCUCCUCUUCCUCCUCCUCCUCCUCCUCUUCUUCCUUUUUCUUCUUCUUCUUUUGUUGUGUGGUUUUUUUAUUUUGCUUUCUUCACUCUUCUUCCUCCUCCUCCUCUUCCUCCUCCUCCUCCUCCUCUUCCUCCUCCUCCUUCUUCUCAGUGUGGAAUUCGCCGUCAUCACCACCAGCAGAAGCACCACCACCUCCACCACCACCACCACCACCACCGUCACCACCACCGCCGUCUAUAUGCACCAUCAUCAUCACCAUCACCACCACCACCAUCACCACCACCACCACCACCACCACCAUCACCACCAAGAGGAAAGGUGAAACGGAGAAAAAUUAUUAAGUUCAGGUAUGAGAGGAAGAGGAAGAGGAGGAGGAGGAGGAGAGGAAGAAGAGAGAAGAGCAAAAACGAGAAAAACUAGAGGAUGAAAACAAAAGGAAGAAGAGUUAGACUGUUAGAAGAAGAGGAAGAAGAAGAAGAAGAAGAAGAAGAAGAAGAAGAGGUGUGCCGGGAGGGAGGGACGGCUGGCUGACUGGCUCCCUACAUCCCCUGUCACACAUCUCCAAGCCUCAGCAGACCACCACGUGACCUGCACAGACCCAGGAAGACACAGGGAUGGACUGACUGACUUCACUCUCUGCCUGUCUAGUGUCACACAUUUCCGCCUCACACUUGAAGCUUUCCUGGGAUAUGACGUCCCGGGCUUGGCUGAGGCAGACAGGACAGCAGAGAAAGACCCAACCAAGUGACAGGAGAGAGGAAGACCCAACAAGACCCAAGUGACAGGACAGCAGAGGAAGACCCAAUGAGACCCAACCAAGUGACAGGAGAGUAAGACUGCCCAGAGGAACCACCACCAGCGAGGCAACUGCCCGCCCUCAUCAUCCCCUCCUGACAUGACUCCUCUCCCCCAAGGCUUGAGACCAUGUACAGGCAUCAUCUCAAGCCCUGUGCAGGAUGAGGUCAGGUCAGGAGGGAGGGAUGGGUAUGUCAGUUGCCUCGCUGGGAAUAGAAGGGCAGACUUACCUUACUUCCUGUUCUGUCAAGUGUUGGAGAGUGAGAGGAUGAGAUGACUGGAAGAGGAUCAAUGAGCAAAGAACUGAAGAGAAAGAGGAUUGGAACCCUUGCAACAAUAUACCAUCAAGCUACAUGUAUAAAAGGAGUUGAACACUUUUGGGGAGAAUGAAAGACUCGUUCA
Molecule: long non-coding RNA, 1564 nt
Organism: Eriocheir sinensis (Chinese mitten crab)
Lineage: Eukaryota; Metazoa; Arthropoda; Malacostraca; Decapoda; Varunidae
Exons: 5
Source: RefSeq, a predicted model, not a curated record